AAUGAACGCUGGCGGCGCGCCUAAUACAUGCAAGUCGAGCGAGAAGACGUAGCAAUACGUUUGUAAAGCGGCGAACGGGUGAGGAAUACAUGGGUAACCUACCCUCGAGUGGGGAAUAACUAGCCGAAAGGUUAGCUAAUACCGCGUACGCUCCUUGGACUUCGGUUCAGGGAGGAAAGCGAUACCGUGGGUAUCGCGCUCUUGGUUGGGCUCAUGUCCUAUCAGCUUGUUGGUGAGGAACGGCUCACCAAGGCUUCGACGGGUAGCUGGUCUGAGAGGACGAUCAGCCACACUGGCACUGCGACACGGGCCAGACUCCUACGGGAGGCAGCAGUAAGGAAUAUUGCGCAAUGGGCGAAAGCCUGACGCAGCGACGCCGCGUGGGGGAUGAAGGUCUUCGGAUUGUAAACCCCUUUCGGGAGGGAAGAUGGAACGAGCAAUCGUUCGGACGGUACCUCCAGAAGCAGCCACGGCUAACUUCGUGCC
RNAcentral lists this ribosomal RNA (486 nucleotides) under uncultured bacterium. RNAcentral's name for it is "bacterial SSU rRNA". It matches the Rfam family "Bacterial small subunit ribosomal RNA", at positions 29 to 509 of the family's 1533-position model. The record is from RNAcentral.